This 453-nucleotide ribosomal RNA is filed under the name uncultured bacterium. RNAcentral's name for it is "bacterial SSU rRNA". It matches the Rfam family "Bacterial small subunit ribosomal RNA", at positions 9 to 508 of the family's 1533-position model. The record is from RNAcentral.
GGGUUUGAUUAUGGCUCAGGAUGAACGCUGGCGGCGUGCUUAACACAUGCAAGUCGAACGAACCUUUCGGGGUGAGUGGCGGACGGGUGAGUAACGCGUGAGGAUCUGCCCUUAGGAGGGGGACAACUUUUGGAAACGGAAGCUAAUACCCCAUAUGUCGAGAGAUGAAACUUUUUGGCCUGAGGAUGAACUCGCGUCUGAUUAGCUAGUUGGUGGUGUAAUGGACUACCAAGGCGACGAUCAGUAGCUGUUCUGAGAGGAAGAUCAGCCACACUGGGACUGAGACACGGCCCAGACUCCUACGGGAGGCAGCAGUGGGGAAUUUUCCGCAAUGGGCGCAAGCCUGACGGAGCAACGCCGCGUGAGGGAGGAAUGUCUGUGGAUUGUAAACCUCUUUUCUCUAGGAAGAAGAUCUGACGGUACUAGAGGAAUCAGCAUCGGCUAACUCCGUGC